GUCUACGGCCAUGCCACUCUGAACGUGUCCGAUCUUGUCUGAUCUCGGAAGCUAAGCAGUCGGGCCUGGUUAGUACUUGGUUGGGAGACCACUUAGGAAGACCAUGUGCUGUAGGUG
RNAcentral lists this ribosomal RNA (117 nucleotides) under Pteropus alecto (black flying fox). Lineage: Eukaryota; Metazoa; Chordata; Mammalia; Chiroptera; Pteropodidae. The record is from RNAcentral.